AGUUUUCUGUGUAUACAGCAUGAGGCAAAUCCAGACAGUGGGAAUUCAACGGGAGCUGUGUUUGCUGUUCAUCUGCUAGAGGACAGGAGGGUUGGGGCCUGACAUGACACACCCCAUCUCCAUCAGCUUCCCCGCCAGGGCUAAGAUCCACAGGGGGAUGCUCUGAGUCUCAUUUGGAUCUGCCAGCUCUUGCUCCCUUUUGCACGGAUCUUUAAAUAUGGAGAAUAGUCCCAAGAAUCAAAACUGCCCUGUGUUCUCAGAGGACGGGCCAGAGAAUCGAGAAGGCCCUGUGUUCCCAGAGGACGGGCCAGAGAAUCGGGAAGAUCCAGUUUCCUCCAAGAAAGGAAAUGCUGCAG
Long non-coding RNA from Chelonia mydas (Green sea turtle), 356 nucleotides. RefSeq lists it as uncharacterized. The record is from RefSeq and is a predicted model, not a curated record. Lineage: Eukaryota; Metazoa; Chordata; Testudines; Cheloniidae. The transcript has 3 exons.